UACGUAGGGUGCGAGCGUUGUCCGGAAUUAUUGGGCGUAAAGGGCUCGUAGGCGGUUUGUCGCGUCGGGAGUGAAAACCCAGGGCUUAACCCUGGGCUGGCUUCCGAUACGGGCAGACUAGAGGUAGGCAGGGGAGAGCGGAACUCCUGGUGUAGCGGUGGAAUGCGCAGAUAUCAGGAAGAACACCGGUGGCGAAGGCGGCUCUCUGGGCCUUACCUGACGCUGAGGAGCGAAAGCGUGGGGAGCAAACAGG
This 253-nucleotide ribosomal RNA is filed under the name uncultured bacterium. RNAcentral's name for it is "partial 16S ribosomal RNA". It matches the Rfam family "Bacterial small subunit ribosomal RNA", at positions 524 to 776 of the family's 1533-position model. The record is from RNAcentral.